AGGCUGACUGGCACUUGGAGAGUGGCAAGUCUUCCAGUAUGGGGAGCAAAACAGCUAUGGGUCAAGUCCGAUAUCUUUAGGAGAAGUCUUAUUGUGAGGGCGAGUUAUAUAACACCAUAGGACUGGCCGUCCCAUAUGAAAAGAUUAUAUUAGAAUUGAAUGAAGCUUUGUUUAUAUAUUGAUAAUGACAGUAUAUAUAUCGUGUCUUGACUAAUUGCGUGCCAGCAGUCGCGGUAAUACGUAAGAGACUAGUGUUAUUCAUCUUAAUUAGGUUUAAAGGGUACCCAGACGGUCAAUAUAGCUUAUAAAAUGUUAGUACUUGACUAGAGUUUUAUGUAAGAGGGCAGUACUUGAGGAGGAGAGAUGAAAUUUCGUGAUACCAAAGGGACUCUGUAAAGGCGAAGGCAGCCCUCUAUGUAAAAACUGACGUUGAAGGACGAAGGCACAGAGAACAAACAGGAUUAGAUACCCAAGUAGUCUUUGCAGUAAAUGAUGAAUGCCAUAGGUUAGAUUGAUCAAUUAUAGUCUAGGGUUAGUCUAGCAAACUAAUGCCCUAUGAUAUAAUUCAAAAUAUCUGGUCUAUAAAUGAAAGUGUAAGCAUUUCACCUCAAGAGUAAUGUGGCAACGCAGGAACUGAAAUCACUAGACCGUUUCUGACACCAGUAGUGAAGUAUGUUAUUUACUUAAAAUCCCCACAAAAAA
Molecule: ribosomal RNA, 702 nt
Filed under: Fusarium oxysporum
Lineage: Eukaryota; Fungi; Ascomycota; Sordariomycetes; Hypocreales; Nectriaceae
Description: SSU rRNA
Rfam family: Bacterial small subunit ribosomal RNA
Source: RNAcentral